UGAAGCGAUUGCUUCGGGCGAAAACAGCACGUUCGCAUCGCGCUCGAUCGUCACCAUGCCCCGGUCACCGGGUUCGAUUUCCGGCAUUUCGUCC
RNAcentral lists this transfer RNA (94 nucleotides) under Camelimonas fluminis. Its description in RNAcentral is "tRNA-Ala". Lineage: Bacteria; Pseudomonadati; Pseudomonadota; Alphaproteobacteria; Hyphomicrobiales; Chelatococcaceae. The record is from RNAcentral.